Molecule: unclassified non-coding RNA, 618 nt
Filed under: Hevea brasiliensis (rubber tree)
Lineage: Eukaryota; Viridiplantae; Streptophyta; Magnoliopsida; Malpighiales; Euphorbiaceae
Source: RNAcentral
UGGUAAUAUUUCAAGAACAUCUUAUAGUAACCUCAUUGAAGCUGAGGCUGCCGGUGAGUUUGGUGUCGAAGGUGGGAACUCUGGGUACUCCUGUUCCAGUGAUACCGAGCAAAAGCAUGGUCAGAUAGAUAUGAGUAGAUUUAGUGAAGGAGACCAAGCAACAUCUCGGGUAGAGGAUCCCAAAAGUGGAACUGUGAUGUGCAGUAAUCAUUCUGGAAUGCCAGGAGUAGUAUCAGAUGGAGCUGGGAAUGACACCAAAGUCAAGAAAGUGAAACUCAAAGUUGGUGGUGUUACAAAAACAAUAAACACUUCUGUCGCUGGAUCCUCUUCAGAUGCCCCUCAGAAAUGGCAACCCAAGAAUACAGGUGGACAUCAUUCCUCUUAUAGUGGAAGGGCAAUUGGCUUGCGAGGUAUCCCCUGGAAGGAUUUUGCUAAAACUGGUUUUGGUGUUAGGAAAGUGGAUUCCUCGACGGAUCAGUUACCUGGGCAGUUUGCCCCUUUGAAACAAUUAGAAAAAUAUGAGGCAUCUCAUAAAAGCAAGUCUCUGCUAAAAAGACAUUUAUCAGGUGAAACAUUUGAUGAUGAAGACACUGAGGAUGAUGAUGAUGAUGAGAUCCG